This 395-nucleotide unclassified non-coding RNA is filed under the name soil metagenome. RNAcentral's name for it is "partial contains 5.8S ribosomal RNA, internal transcribed spacer 2, and large subunit ribosomal RNA". The stretch from base 1 to 120 matches the Rfam family "5.8S ribosomal RNA", at positions 35 to 154 of the family's 154-position model. The record is from RNAcentral.
GAUGAAGAACGUAGCGAAAUGCGAUAAGUAAUGUGAAUUGCAGAAUUCAGUGAAUCAUCGAAUCUUUGAACGCACCUUGCGCCUUUUGGUAUUCCGAAAGGCACACCUGUUUGAGCGUCAUGAAUACCUCAAUCUCCAUCUUUUCUUCGGAUUGAUGGGUGACUUGGAUGUUGAGCCCUGCUGGUAUGCCAUAUCAGCUGGCUUUAAACUUAUUAGCCGGCUCUGUACUGGAUCGGUUUGACUCGACGUGAUAAUAUUAUCGUUGAGGAUGCAUGUCUCAUGCAGCCGGAAAGUAUCAAAGCAGCUUCUAGCUUGCCUUUAGUGCACUUUUACAUUUUAGACCUCAGAUCAGGUGGGACUACCCGCUGAACUUAAGCAUAUCAAUAAGCGGAGGA